GAUGUUAGUAAAAACAAAAUUGGC
RNAcentral lists this non-coding RNA (24 nucleotides) under Cricetulus griseus (Chinese hamster). Lineage: Eukaryota; Metazoa; Chordata; Mammalia; Rodentia; Cricetidae. The record is from RNAcentral.